UCCUACGGGAGGCAGCAGUGAGGAAUAUUGGUCAAUGGACGGAAGUCUGAACCAGCCAUGCCGCGUGCAGGAUGACUGCCCUAUGGGUUGUAAACUGCUUUUCUGAAGGAAGAGAAGUACCUACGUGUAGGUAUUUGCCGGUACUUCAGGAAUAAGGAUCGGCUAACUCCGUACCAGCAGCCGCGGUAAUACGGAGGAUCCGAGCGUUAUCCGGAUUUAUUGGGUUUAAAGGGUGCGUAGGCGGUAUAAUAAGUCAGUGGUGAAAGUCUGUGACUCAACCAUAGAAGUGCCAUUGAAACUGUUAUACUUGAGUAUAGAUGAGGUAUGCGGAAUGUGUAAUGUAGCGGUGAAAUGCUUAGAUAUUACACAGAACACCGAUUGCGAAGGCAGCAUACUAAGCUAUAACUGACGCUGAUGCACGAAAGCGUGGGUAGCGAACAGGAUUAGAUACCCUGGUAGUCCACGCCGUAAACGAUGAUCACUCGUUGUUGGCGACAUAAAGUCAGUGACUGAGCGAAAGCAUUAAGUGAUCCACCUGGGGAGUACGUUGGCAACGAUGAAACUCAAAUGAAUUGACG
Molecule: ribosomal RNA, 578 nt
Filed under: uncultured bacterium
Lineage: Bacteria
Description: bacterial SSU rRNA
Rfam family: Bacterial small subunit ribosomal RNA
Source: RNAcentral